Sapajus apella (tufted capuchin) is the source of this 151-nucleotide long non-coding RNA. RefSeq lists it as uncharacterized. The record is from RefSeq and is a predicted model, not a curated record. The transcript is spliced from 3 exons. Lineage: Eukaryota; Metazoa; Chordata; Mammalia; Primates; Cebidae.
AAAUGAGGGAAAGAGGAAGGGGUCAUGGGCUGAAAAACUUCCUAUCAGGUACUAUAUUCACUAUCUGGGUGAUGGGAUGAAUAGAAGCCCAAACUUUAGCAUGACACAAUAUACCCUUGUAAUAAACCUGCAUUCCUAUGCCCCAAACAAU